RNAcentral lists this ribosomal RNA (464 nucleotides) under uncultured bacterium. Its description in RNAcentral is "bacterial SSU rRNA". It matches the Rfam family "Bacterial small subunit ribosomal RNA", at positions 335 to 796 of the family's 1533-position model. The record is from RNAcentral.
ACUCCUACGGGAGGCAGCAGUAAGGAAUAUUGGGCAAUGGGCGAGAGCCUGACCCAGCCAUGCCGCGUGCAGGAAGACGGCCUUAUGGGUUGUAAACUGCUUUUUUAUGGGAAUAACCACCUUUACGAGUAGAGGUCUGCAAGUACCAUAAGAAUAAGCAUCGGCUAACUCCGUGCCAGCAGCCGCGGUAAUACGGAGGAUGCAAGCGUUAUCCGGAAUUAUUGGGUUUAAAGGGUGCGUAGGCGGACUAGUAAGUCAGUGGUGAAAUUCUCGGGCUUAACCUGAGACCUGCCAUUGAUACUGUUGGUCUUGAGUGUAGUUGAUGUUGGCGGAAUGUGUCAUGUAGCGGUGAAAUGCAUAGAUAUGACACAGAACACCGAUAGCGAAGGCAGCUGACAAAACUAUAACUGACGCUGAGGCACGAAAGCGUGGGGAUCAAACAGGAUUAGAAACCCCUGUAGUCC